GACGAACGCUGGCGGCGUGCUUAACACAUGCAAGUCGAACGGAAAGGCCCUGCUUUUGUGGGGUGCUCGAGUGGCGAACGGGUGAGUAACACGUGAGUAACCUGCCCUUGACUUUGGGAUAACUUCAGGAGACUGGGGCUAAUACCGGAUAGGAGCUCCUGCUGCAUGGUGGGGGUUGGAAAGUUUCGGCGGUAUGGGAUGGACUCGCGGCUUAUCAGCUUGUUGGUGGGGUAGUGGCUUACCAAGGCUUUGACGGGUAGCCGGCCUGGGAGGGUGACCGGCCACAUUGGGACUGAGAUACGGCCCAGACUCCUACGGGCGGCAGCAGUGGGGAAUAUUGCACAAUGGGCGGAAGCCUGAUGCAGCAACGCCGCGUGCGUGAUGACGGCCUUCGGGUUGUAAACCGCUUUCGCAUGUGACGAAGCGUGAGUGACGGUAAUGGGUAAAGAAGCACCGGCUAACUACGUG
RNAcentral lists this ribosomal RNA (468 nucleotides) under uncultured bacterium. RNAcentral describes it as "partial 16S ribosomal RNA". It matches the Rfam family "Bacterial small subunit ribosomal RNA", at positions 28 to 507 of the family's 1533-position model. The record is from RNAcentral.